Molecule: small RNA, 81 nt
Filed under: Flavobacterium frigoris
Lineage: Bacteria; Pseudomonadati; Bacteroidota; Flavobacteriia; Flavobacteriales; Flavobacteriaceae
Description: Flavo-1 RNA
Rfam family: Flavo-1 RNA
Source: RNAcentral
UUUUAGCCCGGAUUGCAGUGAAAAUCCUUUUGUCCCGAUUUUUAUCGGGGCAAAAGAUUGCAACGAAAAGCCGGAAUAGCU